RNAcentral lists this ribosomal RNA (130 nucleotides) under Penicillium citreonigrum. RNAcentral describes it as "5.8S ribosomal RNA". It matches the Rfam family "5.8S ribosomal RNA", at positions 1 to 129 of the family's 154-position model. From Rfam's summary of the family: 5.8S ribosomal RNA (5.8S rRNA) is a component of the large subunit of the eukaryotic ribosome. Lineage: Eukaryota; Fungi; Ascomycota; Eurotiomycetes; Eurotiales; Aspergillaceae. The record is from RNAcentral.
AAACUUUCAACAACGGAUCUCUUGGUUCCGGCAUCGAUGAAGAACGCARCGAAAUGCGAUACGUAAUGUGAAUUGCARAAUUCAGUGAAUCAUCGAGUCUUUGAACGCACAUUGCGCCCCCUGGUAUUCC